GAUGAACGCUGGCGGCGUGCCUAAUACAUGCAAGUCGAGCGAACGGGCGCGAAGCUUGCUUCUCUGAUGUUAGCGGCGGACGGGAGAGUAACACGUGGAUCACCUACCUAUAAGACUGGGAUAACUUCGGGAAACCGGAGCUAAUACCGGAUGAUAUUUUCAACCGCAUGGUUCAAAAGUGAAAGACGGUCUUGCUGUCCCUUAUAGAUGGAUCAGCGCUGCAUUAGCUAGUUGGUAAGGUAACGGCUUACCAAGGCAACGAUGCAUAGCCGACCUGAGAGGGUGAUCGGCCACACUGGAACUGAGACACGGUACAGAGUCCUACGGGAGGCAGCAGUAGGGAAGCGUCCGAAAUGGGCGAAAGCCUGACGAAGCAACGCCGCGUGAGUGAUGAAGGUCUUCGGGUCGUAAAACUCUGUUAUUAGGGAAGAACAUAUGUGGAAGUAACUGUGCACAUCUUGACGGUACCUAAUCAGAAAGCCACGGCUAACUACGUG
Molecule: ribosomal RNA, 497 nt
Filed under: uncultured bacterium
Lineage: Bacteria
Description: partial 16S ribosomal RNA
Rfam family: Bacterial small subunit ribosomal RNA
Source: RNAcentral